RNAcentral lists this ribosomal RNA (926 nucleotides) under uncultured Bacteroidota bacterium. Its description in RNAcentral is "bacterial SSU rRNA". It matches the Rfam family "Bacterial small subunit ribosomal RNA", at positions 1 to 917 of the family's 1533-position model. Lineage: Bacteria; Pseudomonadati; Bacteroidota. The record is from RNAcentral.
UGGAUCCAGACUUUGAUUCUGGCUCAGGAUGAACGCUAGCUACAGGCUUAACACAUGCAAGUCGAGGGGAAACGACAUUGAAAGCUUGCUUUUGAUGGGCGUCGACCGGCGCACGGGUGAGUAACGCGUAUCCAACCUGCCCACCACUUGGGGAUAACCUUGCGAAAGUAAGACUAAUACCCAAUGACGUCUCUAGAAGACAUCUGAAAGAGAUUAAAGAUUUAUCGGUGAUGGAUGGGGAUGCGUCUGAUUAGCUUGUUGGCGGGGUAACGGCCCACCAAGGCUACGAUCAGUAGGGGUUCUGAGAGGAAGGUCCCCCACAUUGGAACUGAGACACGGUCCAAACUCCUACGGGAGGCAGCAGUGAGGAAUAUUGGUCAAUGGACGAGAGUCUGAACCAGCCAAGUAGCGUGCAGGAUGACGGCCCUAUGGGUUGUAAACUGCUUUUAUAAGGGAAUAAAGUGAGUCUCGUGAGACUUUUUGCAUGUACCUUAUGAAUAAGGACCGGCUAAUUCCGUGCCAGCAGCCGCGGUAAUACGGAAGGUCCGGGCGUUAUCCGGAUUUAUUGGGUUUAAAGGGAGCGUAGGCCGGAGAUUAAGCGUGUUGUGAAAUGUAGAUGCCCAACAUCUGCACUGCAGCGCGAACUGGUUUCCUUGAGUACGCACAAAGUGGGCGGAAUUCGUGGUGUAGCGGUGAAAUGCUUAGAUAUCACGAGGAACUCCGAUUGCGAAGGCAGCUCACUGGAGCGCAACUGACGCUGAAGCUCGAAAGUGCGGGUAUCGAACAGGAUUAGAUACCCUGGUAGUCCGCACGGUAAACGAUGGAUGCCCGCUGUUGGUCUGAAUAGGUCAGCGGCCAAGCGAAAGCAUUAAGCAUCCCACCUGGGGAGUACGCCGGCAACGGUGCAACUCAAAUGAAUUGACGGA